CCUACGGGGGGCAGCAGUGGGGAAUAUUGCACAAUGGGGGAAACCCUGAUGCAGCAACGCCGCGUGAGUGAAGAAGUCCUUCUUGAUGUAAAGCUCUAUCAGCAGGGAAGAAAAUGACGGUACCUGACUAAGAAGCCCCGGCUAACUACGUGCCAGCAGCCGCGGUAAGACGUAGGGGGCAAGCGUUAUCCGGAUUUACUGGGUGUAAAGGGAGCGUAGACGGCGACGCAAGUCGGCAGUGAAAUGCCAGUGCUCAACACUGGAACUGCUUUGGAAACUGUGUAGCUGGAGUGCAGGAGAGGUAAGUGGAAUUCCUGGUGGAGCGGUGAAAUGCGUAGAUAUUAGGAGGAACACCAGUGGCGAAGGCGGCUUACUGGACUGUAACUGACGUUGAGGCUCGAAGGCGUGGGGAGCAAACAGGAUUAGAUACCCUAGUAGUC
Molecule: ribosomal RNA, 440 nt
Filed under: uncultured bacterium
Lineage: Bacteria
Description: partial 16S ribosomal RNA
Rfam family: Bacterial small subunit ribosomal RNA
Source: RNAcentral